GGGUACAAUAACAGCCCCCUAUUUGAGUAUCGACAUUGCCUGUAUUGGAGCAACCAAAAUAACGGCUUUUGCCAUUGGGUAGCCAGUGUUUGGCCAAUCAACUGAUUGCGUGACAAUUGUCUAAAUUUCAAAACAGAGUUAAGUCAGUACAUACACGAAGUUCUUAACGAAAUGUUGCUAAAAAUGUGACAAACUGAAAGUUAUAAAAUUAUAGCAUGCAAACGGGAAUACGAAAACGAAAGAACAGGCUGAUAGAGAAGGAGGAACCAGAACCAGCAGCAGGGAUUCCAUUUCAACACACAGCAAAAACAUUUUGUGUGUAUGUGUGCCUGUGCUCCAUGUUCCAAUGACUUUGCCUCAGUAAAGGGGCGGGAGGAGGAUGGAAGUGGAAGUAGGAAAGAACAAUAUCAUCGAUAGCAGUUUUUCACUUCAAUAUUAAAUUCAAAGCAAACCCAAGAGGGGCUUCUCAGCAUGUCCAUGUCCAUCUGUCGGCCAAGCCAGCGGCAGCAGCCAGUUACAUCAUAAGCAUAUGACAUAGAAGUCAUUUUACGUACACGUGUAUGUGUGUAUCUGUUGAAAGGAAGGUGGUCGGAAUCGAAGGGCUGAUCGAAUGAUGGAAUAUGGACAUAGCAAAUGGGACAACAUCAAAUAAAGUUCUAUUAACUUUUUUAAUAGUGGCCAAAUGGGAGAAAUUCCUGUGAGUUGAUUUCUCAUAGAUUUUUAAGUUAAUUUGAAGAUAUGUACAUGUACAAAUGUAAAUAGUUUACACACUCCUUAGACUACUUCAAUAUAUUUAGAUUAGAAUAUAAUCUCUUAAUCUUCGGAAAAACGGAAUCAGAAAAGUAAAUUCUUUAAAAAUAAGAGUAAUCAAUAAAAAUGUAUACCUACAGAGU
Drosophila willistoni is the source of this 893-nucleotide long non-coding RNA. RefSeq lists it as uncharacterized. NCBI's taxonomy places the organism in Eukaryota, Metazoa, Arthropoda, Insecta, Diptera, Drosophilidae. The record is from RefSeq and is a predicted model, not a curated record. The transcript has 3 exons.